This 774-nucleotide ribosomal RNA is filed under the name uncultured fungus. RNAcentral's name for it is "eukaryotic LSU rRNA". It matches the Rfam family "Eukaryotic large subunit ribosomal RNA", at positions 30 to 821 of the family's 3401-position model. Lineage: Eukaryota; Fungi. The record is from RNAcentral.
GAACUUAAGCAUAUCAAUAAGCGGAGGAAAAGAAACCAACAGGGAUUACCUCAGUAACGGCGAGUGAAGCGGUAACAGCUCAAAUUUGAAAUCUGGCUCUUUUAGAGUCCGAGUUGUAAUCUGUAGAAGAUGCUUUGGGCAUUGCUCCGGUCUAAGUUCCUUGGAACAGGACGUCAUAGAGGGUGAGAAUCCCGUAUGUGACUGGUGGCAUUUGUCCGUGUAAAGCUCUUUCGACGAGUCGAGUUGUUUGGGAAUGCAGCUCAAAAUGGGUGGUAUAUUUCAUCUAAAGCUAAAUAUUGGCCAGAGACCGAUAGCGCACAAGUAGAGUGAUCGAAAGAUGAAAAGCACUUUGGAAAGAGAGUUAAACAGUACGUGAAAUUGUUGAAAGGGAAGCGCUUGCAACCAGACUUGCAGGUCGUUGAUCAUCCGGGGUUCUCCCCGGUGCACUCGGCGGCUUUCAGGCCAGCAUCGGUUUGAGUGGUGGGAUAAAGGCCUUGGGAAUGUGGCUCCUCUCGGGGAGUGUUAUAGCCCAAGGUGCAAUGCCGCCUACUCGGACCGAGGACCGCGCUUCGGCUAGGAUGCUGGCGUAAUGGUUGUAAGCGACCCGUCUUGAAACACGGACCAAGGAGUCUAACAUCUAUGCGAGUGUUUGGGUGUCAAACCCAUACGCGUAAUUAACGUGAACGGAGGUAAGAACCCUUAAGGGUGCAUUAUCGACCGAUCCUGAUGUCUUCGGAUGGAUUUGAGUAAGAGCAUAGCUGUUGGGACCCGAAA